Molecule: long non-coding RNA, 730 nt
Filed under: Mytilus galloprovincialis (Mediterranean mussel)
Lineage: Eukaryota; Metazoa; Mollusca; Bivalvia; Mytilida; Mytilidae
Source: RNAcentral
GGGGCAGCAACCCAACAACAGGUUGUCCGAUUCAUCUGAAAAUUUCAGGGCAGAUAGAUCUUGACCCUAUAAACAAUUUUACCCCCAUGUCAGAUUUGCUCUAAAUGCUUUAGUUUUUGAGUUAUAAGCCAAAAACUGCAUUUUACCCCUAUGUUCUAUUUUUAGCCGUGGUGGCCAUCUUGGUUAGUUGGCCGGGUCACCGGACACAUUUUUUAAACUAGAUACCCCAAUGAUGAUUGUGGCCAAGUUUGGUUUAAUUUGGCCCAGUAGUUUCAGAGGAGAAGAUUUUUCUAAAAGAUAACUAAGAUUUACGAAAAAUGGUUAAAAAUUGACUAUAAAGGGCAAUAACUCCUAAAGGGGUCAACUGACCAUUUGGGUCAGGUUGACUUAUUUGUAAAUCUUACUUUGCUGAACAUUAUUGCUGUUUACAGUUUAUCUCUAUCUAUAAUAAUAUUCAAGAUAAUAACCAAAAACAGUAAAAUUUCCUUAAAAUUACCAAUUCAGGGGCAGCAACCCAACAACGGGUUGUCCGAUUCAUCUGAAAAUUUCAGGGCAGAUAGAUCUUGACCUGAUGAACAAUUUUACCCCAUGUCAGAUUUGCUCUAAAUGCUUUGGUUUUUGAGUUAUAAGCCAAAAAACUGCAUUUUACCCCUAUGUUCUAUUUUUAGCCAUGGCGGCCAUCUUGGUUGGUUGACCGGGUCACCAGACACAUUUUUUAAACUAGAUACCC